AUCACAGGACUGAGAUCUAGGCAUCUGGAAUGUUUUAAAGUUUGCUGCUACACAAUGUCUUAAAAGGACCUGUGAUGAGAAAAAUGUCAAGCACAGCUUUAAGACCUUGUGUCGAAAGGAGCUAAUGAGAAAGCAGAUUGGAAGGUAAGACUUCAUGUGUGUUUUGAAAUAAAUGGUCUUAAACUUUUUCUGUAAGAAGAAAAUUUAGUUCAUGUUUAUCUUUCUAUCUGUCUAUCUAAACCACUAGUUUUUACAGCUUUCAGGUAAAAUCCAACACUUGGUUUAUACAAAGUCUAUGAGAAGAGAUCAGUAG
This 313-nucleotide long non-coding RNA is filed under the name Capra hircus (goat). Its description in RNAcentral is "lncRNA (ENSCHIG00000004017.1)". The record is from RNAcentral. Lineage: Eukaryota; Metazoa; Chordata; Mammalia; Artiodactyla; Bovidae.